This 192-nucleotide non-coding RNA is filed under the name Terriglobia bacterium. RNAcentral describes it as "6S RNA". It matches the Rfam family "6S / SsrS RNA". From Rfam's summary of the family: E. coli 6S RNA was the first non coding RNA to be sequenced, but its function was unknown until recently. It consists of 184 nucleotides that fold into an extended hairpin structure with a large single-stranded internal bulge. The record is from RNAcentral. Lineage: Bacteria; Pseudomonadati; Acidobacteriota; Terriglobia.
GAUGGCCUGCGACGCAGGUGAUGUCGCGAACGCCUAUUUGAACCAACACUGGAUCCCAGGGCGCCCCCGUCGUCCUGCCGUUGUGCAUGCCCCGGACGGCUUGCCGUCUCGGGGAAGCCUGCAAGCAGGCGCAGGGCACCCACCUAUUCGUGGGGUUCAGGGCCUAGCGGCGCACGGCGAAGUGGACCGCUC